RNAcentral lists this ribosomal RNA (253 nucleotides) under uncultured bacterium. RNAcentral describes it as "partial 16S ribosomal RNA". It matches the Rfam family "Bacterial small subunit ribosomal RNA", at positions 524 to 776 of the family's 1533-position model. The record is from RNAcentral.
GACGAACCGUCCAAACGUUAUUCGGAAUCACUGGGCUUACAGAGUUCGUAGGCGGUCUGGCAAGUUGGGUGUGAAAUCCCUCGGCUCAACCGAGGAACUGCGCUCAAAACUACCCGACUCGAGGGAGAUAGAGGAAAGCGGAACUGAUGGUGGAGCGGUGAAAUGCGUUGAUAUCAUCAGGAACACCGGUGGCGAAGGCGGCUUUCUGGGUCUUACCUGACGCUGAGGAACGAAAGCCAGGGGAGCGAACGGG